UGCAAGUCGUACGCACUGGCCCAACUGAUUGAUGGUGCUUGCACCUGAUUGACGAUGGAUCACCAGUGAGUGGCGGACGGGUGAGUAACACGUAGGUAACCUGCCCCGGAGCGGGGGAUAACAUUUGGAAACAGAUGCUAAUACCGCAUAACAACAAAAGCCACAUGGCUUUUGUUUGAAAGAUGGCUUUGGCUAUCACUCUGGGAUGGACCUGCGGUGCAUUAGCUAGUUGGUAAGGUAACGGCUUACCAAGGCGAUGAUGCAUAGCCGAGUUGAGAGACUGAUCGGCCACAAUGGAACUGAGACACGGUCCAUACUCCUACGGGAGGCAGCAGUAGGGAAUCUUCCACAAUGGGCGCAAGCCUGAUGGAGCAACACCGCGUGAGUGAAGAAGGGUUUCGGCUCGUAAAGCUCUGUUGUUGGAGAAGAACGUGCGUGAGAGUAACUGUUCACGCAGUGACGGUAUCCAACCAGAAAGUCACGGCUAACUACGUGCCAGCAGCCGCGGUAAUACGUAGGUGGCAAGCGUUAUCCGGAUUUAUUGGGCGUAAAGCGAGCGCAGGCGGUUGCUUAGGUCUGAUGUGAAAGCCUUCGGCUUAACCGAAGAAGUGCAUCGGAAACCGGGCGACUUGAGUGCAGAAGAGGACAGUGGAACUCCAUGUGUAGCGGUGGAAUGCGUAGAUAUAUGGAAGAACACCAGUGGCGAAGGCGGCUGUCUGGUCUGCAACUGACGCUGAGGCUCGAAAGCAUGGGUAGCGAACAGGAUUAGAUACCCUGGUAGUCCAUGCCGUAAACGAUGAGUGCUAGGUGUUGGAGGGUUUCCGCCCUUCAGUGCCGGAGCUAACGCAUUAAGCACUCCGCCUGGGGAGUACGACCGCAAGGUUGAAACUCAAAGGAAUUGACGGGGGCCCGCACAAGCGGUGGAGCAUGUGGUUUAAUUCGAAGCUACGCGAAGAACCUUACCAGGUCUUGACAUCUUGCGCUAACCUUAGAGAUAAGGCGUUCCCUUCGGGGACGCAAUGACAGGUGGUGCAUGGUCGUCGUCAGCUCGUGUCGUGAGAUGUUGGGUUAAGUCCCGCAACGAGCGCAACCCUUGUUACUAGUUGCCAGCAUUAAGUUGGGCACUCUAGUGAGACUGCCGGUGACAAACCGGAGGAAGGUGGGGACGACGUCAGAUCAUCAUGCCCCUUAUGACCUGGGCUACACACGUGCUACAAUGGACGGUACAACGAGUUGCAAGCUCGCGAGAGUAAGCUAAUCUCUUAAAGCCGUUCUCAGUUCGGACUGUAGGCUGCAACUCGCCUACACGAAGUCGGAAUCGCUAGUAAUCGCGGAUCAGCAUGCCGCGGUGAAUACGUUCCCGGGCCUUGUACACACCGCCCGUCACACCAUGGGAGUUUGUAACGCCCAAAGUCGGUGGCCUAACCUUUAUGGAGGAGCCGCCUAAG
Molecule: ribosomal RNA, 1448 nt
Filed under: Limosilactobacillus reuteri
Lineage: Bacteria; Bacillati; Bacillota; Bacilli; Lactobacillales; Lactobacillaceae
Description: Lactobacillus reuteri 16S ribosomal RNA
Rfam family: Bacterial small subunit ribosomal RNA
Source: RNAcentral